AACGAACGCUGGCGGCAUGCCUAACACAUGCAAGUCGAACGAGAUCUUCGGGUCUAGUGGCGCACGGGUGCGUAACGCGUGGGAAUCUGCCCUUUGGUUCGGAAUAACAGUUGGAAACGACUGCUAAUACCGGAUGAUGACGAAAGUCCAAAGAUUUAUCGCCAGAGGAUAAGCCCGCGUAGGAUUAGCUAGUUGGUGUGGUAAAGGCGCACCAAGGCGACGAUCCUUAGCUGGUCUGAGAGGAUGAUCAGCCACACUGGGACUGAGACACGGCCCAGACUCCUACGGGAGGCAGCAGUGGGGAAUAUUGGAAAAUGGGCGAAAGCCUGAUCCAGCAAUGCCGCGUGAGUGAUGAAGGCCUUAGGGUUGUAAAGCUCUUUUACCCGGGAUGAUAAUGACAGUACCGGGAGAAUAAGCUCCGGCUAACUCCGUGCCAGCCGCCGCAGUAA
This 449-nucleotide ribosomal RNA is filed under the name uncultured bacterium. RNAcentral describes it as "partial 16S ribosomal RNA". It matches the Rfam family "Bacterial small subunit ribosomal RNA", at positions 29 to 523 of the family's 1533-position model. The record is from RNAcentral.